AACGAACGCUGGCGGCAUGCCUAACACAUGCAAGUCGAACGCUCCGCAAGGGGAGUGGCGAACGGGUGAGUAACGCGUGGGAACCUGCCCAGUAGUUGGGGAUAACCGCGGGAAACUGCGGCUAAUACCGAAUACGCCCUAAGGGGAAAGAUUUAUCGCUAUUGGAGGGGCCCGCGUCGGAUUAGCUGGUUGGUGAGGUAACGGCUCACCAAGGCGACGAUCCGUAGCUGGUCUGAGAGGANGAUCAGCCACACUGGGACUUAGACACGGCCCAGACUCCUACGGGAGGCAGCAGUGGGGAAGUAUUGGACAAUGGGGGCGAACCCUCGAUCCAGCAAUGCCG
RNAcentral lists this ribosomal RNA (343 nucleotides) under uncultured bacterium. Its description in RNAcentral is "bacterial SSU rRNA". It matches the Rfam family "Bacterial small subunit ribosomal RNA", at positions 29 to 399 of the family's 1533-position model. The record is from RNAcentral.